AUUUUGUCAUAAACCAGCCAGUUAUUUUAUGCUGGUCAUUCAUCUUGACUACAAAGUAGAAUAGUCAAGCUGUCAUUCCAAAUAGAAAACUUUUUACUUCAAUCAGAAUUAAGCCUUAACCUGGAAAGUUGGUUUCUUCCUUACAUUUUCCCAAUCUCCUACUCUAUUCUUAAACAUGCUAGUUUCACUCAGUUGGGUAUACAAGCCUUUGGGCUUUAUGUUGUAUGUUACUAACCACCUUUUACCAUAUUUAUCUUUUGGCAUCAUUCUGGGACAUUGCUAAAUUAAAAAAGAAAUUGUUUCCACUUUUUUCUGGAGAUGUUCAACUAAAGGUUGUUUUGUUUUGUUUUUUGUUUUGAGACAGUCUCACCCUGACGCUCAGGCUGGAGUGCAGUGGUGCAACCUCGGCUCACUGCAACCUCCACCUCCCGGGCUCAAGCCAUUCUCCUGCCUCAGCCUCCCAAGCAGCUGGGAUUACAGGCACCCGCCACCACGCCCAGCUAAUUUUUUUGUAUUUUGAGUAGAGACCGGGUUUCACCAUAUUGGCCAGUCUCGUCUGGAACUCCUGACCUCAGAUGAUCCGCCCGCCUCAGCCUCCCAAAGUGCUGGGAUUACAGGCAUGAGCCACCACGCCCAGCGUCCAACCCACUGUUGGAUGAAACUUGCUGCACGUCAUACAUUUUGCUGUUGGCAAACAAGUCUGAAUGUUGAUUUGAAGUUUGGUAGUUUAUUACUAUCUAUUGGCAGCAAAGACUGUUUAUUGGUAUACUACAAUAUGAUUUAACUUUUAUUUUGGGGAUAAAUAGUAGAAAAAAGUGAAACAGAAUGAAGGCAGGUGUUUUUUAUUCUAAUGAUGGAAUAAUACAGAGAUACUGGACGAUCUCUAGCAGUUAAUUAUUGUGACCCAUAUAAAAUUAUACAGGUCACAGUAUAAUUCUCUAUUACCGUUUUUACACCAGUAAGUCUUAGAUAAACUAAGCAUGCUUAUGAAUUAUGUAUACAGUUAGAAUGCAUUAUUUUUACAGAGGAACAAUUGCUUGUAUGUACUAACACUGUUCUCUUGGCUUGCCUCAAGUUCUACUCAUUAUUUUAUAUAAAAUACUAUUAGGCUGGGCACGGUGGCUCACGCCUAUAAUCCCAGCACUUUGGGAGGUGGAGGCUGGCGGAUUACUUGAAGCCAGGAGUUCGAGACCAGCCUGGCCAAAAUGGUGAAACCCCAUCUCUAUAAAAAUACAAAAAUUAGCCAGGUGUCAUGAUACAUGCCUGUAAUCCCAGCUUCUUGGGAGGCUGAGGCACGGGAAUCGCUUGAACCCGGGAAGCACAGGUUGCAGUGAGCCAAGAUCAUGCCACUGCACCCCCAGCCUGGGUGACAGAGUGCAACACUGUCUCACAAAACAAAACAAAAACAUCAGAUUCUGUUUGUGAUGCCUAGUUGCUUACAACCUAAACAGUGCAAUGCCUUAAGGAAAUGAAAAGGAGCCAUAAGUAGUCAUUUAUAUUUUUAUUUUGAAGUGUGCUUUUUCUAAACUCCCAGAUUGACAUGAUGGACUGUAAGUUAGUUUCUCUGUUUCUGUCUUUGUGCCUGUAGAGUGUACUUGGCACUUACAAAUUCCCAGUAUCCAGAAAGAUGAUCUGAUGAAAUCAAAUUGGAUGGAUCUUGGCAGACUGUGACACUCAAUUACAGCCUUCACUUUCAGUCAAAAACGGACACUUGGCAAGGAGGUGCCUGGUUGUUUCACUAAAUGUCACUUGUGUGUGUAAUAUUUUAAAGCUUUUUCCCCACAGGAAAUUCGGGUCAUAAAAUCCUGAAAAAUAAUUCUAGGUGGGAAAAGCAUUUUAGGAAAUGAGAGAUGUGGUGCUGCUUUUCUUCUCUCAGAGUGCUUUCUCAGCAGGACACUAGCCCUGCCUUUAAGAUGGGGAAGUUGGGGCAUGUGCCUCUGCUCUUACUGUCUGCAGCUCUGAAGGUAGGUGCUGUCCCACUCGGACAAUCGCCCAAGCAGCAGUGACCAUAGUUCUCUUCUAUGCAAGUCCCCAGGAGAAGGUAAACUGUGUGGAAUGGGGAUGUGUUCUGGUUGCUGCUGAAUCCCCUCUUCUUACCACAGUGCCUGGCACGUUGCACACACUCAAAUACGUAAUAAUGAACAUUUAUUGAAAGCAGCAGUUGAAGCUGACCAAUUUCUGGUACCUUGUCAUGUAAAUUUUAGAUGGUAAGGCGCAGAUGUUACUUUUUUUGCUUUUUUUCUUCAGCACUUGAUGAAAUUUCCCAAACAUGCAGAAAUGUUGAAAGACUUGUAUAGUGAACAUCUACGACCUAGAAUCUGCAGUAAUAUUAUGUUACAUUUGCUUUAUCACUUGAUAGAUGUUACUUUUAAUGAGACUUCAAGUUUGGUUUCUCUAAACAAAAUAUUCUAAAAUAACUGAACAACUUUAAUCAAUUUGUCUUAAGUUCUUUGGGGGAACUUGGGACAUUUGCUUUGUAACUGGAAUUGCAGCCCUCACGUUAAGCUAAUUUUAAACUUUGCAAAUUUGUUAUGCUGAAUUUCAGUCUUAUUUAUUUUGCCUGAAGGGGUAUUUUUUGUAAUGGAUUUAUUUGAAGGUCCUUGAUAAAUUGUGCAGAAUAUUCUCGUGUUCUUUUUGCACUUGAUAAAUUAUCUAAUUUCUGUGGUGAGAAUGUAAUUUGGGGCCUAUUUUGUUUAUACAAGCUUCCAGAAUUAUGUUCUCAGAGGGAUGAAAAGGUGUAAUUUAGCAUAUAGGUCACUAAAUUAGGAGCUAAGACACAUUUUCUCCUGACUGACCAUGGGUCAAUCAGUUUUGUCUUCGUGUCCUUUUCCUUGUAAAGUAGAAACUAGAAUUUGAAAUUUAAAUAUUAAAUAAUGGGUAACAUUCAUUAAUGUAUGACUCUAUUAAGAAAGACACUGUGAAUCCAGGGAGGAUUCUCAUAAUUCUGUAAACUGUAUGACAAGCUGUGGAAUGAAAUCUGACUUUUGAAAAUUGAAAGACAUCCAGUGGUCUUAUCACAAAGCCUGCUUUUCCUCAGAACUUAACUAUUGCCAUGGAAUUUGUAAGCAGUUAUCCUAAUCCAUCUGGACUCUGAAAAUGCAUCCUUUAUGAGAGGGAGUGAAUGCAAAGAUAAGGGUGGGGAAACACUAAUCAUGAAAAGAAUGAAAAUCAGUGUUCAGUUUUAAGAGCAGGUUGUAUUGAAGGAAGGGAUUAAAGGAAUUAUCCAGAUUUGAGGUGGCACAUCUUCCACCACUCCCUGCACCAUCAGCAUGCACGGAGCGCAUAAAACAAGCCCUGCUCCUAAUGGCAGUGAAACCUCGGAUGGCCUCCAUCAGGUCAAUACAACUGAAUUGCUGGGCUGACUUAAGAUUGAAGGACUCCAUUUUAGUAAGUAGAGAAGUGUGACCUUUCUCAACCCAGGUUGUGAAUGUGGAUUCACACUUAUCUCAAAAAGGCACCUGGAGUUUUAACUUUAUGUCAUGUCUCAGUACUGGUUGCAAGGUAUGACCAAAAGUGUUCCUUGAAUGGCACCUUUUUGAAUAUUAAUUUAGAAGAAAACAUGCCAGACUGACAUACUUACCCCCUCCGCACUGUUACUACUUCCUUACCAGCCCUAUGUACUGCAUCAAUGUCUACAAGAAAGCACUCUUCAUUAAAAUGAAAUAUAUAUAUU
Molecule: long non-coding RNA, 3673 nt
Filed under: Homo sapiens (human)
Lineage: Eukaryota; Metazoa; Chordata; Mammalia; Primates; Hominidae
Description: non-protein coding lnc-TRAF6-2:1
Source: RNAcentral